RNAcentral lists this ribosomal RNA (490 nucleotides) under uncultured bacterium. RNAcentral describes it as "partial 16S ribosomal RNA". The record is from RNAcentral.
GUAGUUAGCCGGGGCUUCCUCCUUGGCUACCGUCACUUUCUUCGUCACCAAGGACAGAGGUUUACAACCCGAAAGCCUUCUUCCCUCACGCGGCGUUGCUGGGUCAGGCUUGCGCCCAUUGCCCAAUAUUCCCCACUGCUGCCUCCCGUAGGAGUCUGGACCGUGUCUCAGUUCCAGUGUGGCCGUUCAGCCUCUCAGCUCGGCUACCCAUCGUCGACUUGGUGGGCCGUUACCCCGCCAACUAUCUAAUCAGUCGCGAGCCCAUCUAUCGGCGGAUUUCUCCUUUUACCACUGAGAGAUGCCUCUCUGUGGCUUUAUGCGGUAUUACCGUCCGUUUCCAGACGCUAUCCCCCUCCUAUAGGUAGGUUGCUCACGUGUUACUCACCAGUCCGCCACUAUCUACAUCAGAGCAAGCUCCAAUAUAAACCGUUCGACUUGCAUGUGUUAGGCGCGCCGCCAGCGUUCGUCCUGAGCCAUGAUCAAACUCUGA